This 58-nucleotide transfer RNA is filed under the name Salmo salar (Atlantic salmon). It matches the Rfam family "tRNA", at positions 8 to 63 of the family's 71-position model. Rfam says of the family: Transfer RNA (tRNA) molecules are approximately 80 nucleotides in length. The record is from Rfam by way of RNAcentral. Lineage: Eukaryota; Metazoa; Chordata; Actinopteri; Salmoniformes; Salmonidae.
UGGCUCAGUUGGUAGAGCAUGGCGAUUGCGACGCUAGAGUUGUGGGAUCGAUUCCCAC